This 254-nucleotide ribosomal RNA is filed under the name uncultured bacterium. Its description in RNAcentral is "partial 16S ribosomal RNA". It matches the Rfam family "Bacterial small subunit ribosomal RNA", at positions 524 to 776 of the family's 1533-position model. The record is from RNAcentral.
GACGUAGGGCGCGAGCGUUGUCCGGAUUUAUUGGGCGUAAAGAGCUCGUAGGCGGCUUGUCGCGUCGUCCGUGAAAACCUGCAGCUUAACUGUGGGCGUGCGGUCGAUACGGGCAUCACUGGAGUUCGGCAGGGGAGACUGGAAUUCCUGGUGUAGCGGUGAAAUACGUAGAGAUUGGGAAGAACACCAGUGGCGAAGGCGGCUAUCUGGACGGUUUCUGACACUAAGACUCGAAAGCGUGGGGAGCAAACAGG